Molecule: long non-coding RNA, 186 nt
Filed under: Oryza sativa Indica Group (long-grained rice)
Lineage: Eukaryota; Viridiplantae; Streptophyta; Magnoliopsida; Poales; Poaceae
Also listed under: 1 other name
Description: lncRNA OsKYG_05g0010090
Source: RNAcentral
AUGAACGAGGACAUUGUUCAUGUGAAGAAAUCACCACGCUUCUCCAACACAUCAGAUCAGUCUAGAGGUCAAGAAAAGGGCUUAGCUACUAGUGCACGUGUGGGUGUACAAAAGGCUUCAGUUCAGAAAAAUGUUAUUGAACCUAGGGGGCAUGCACGUGUACAACAACUAGAAAAUUUACACCAU